UGGCUAUAUGGCUUUCCAUCACAUAUAUAUAAUGAAUUAUUAUUUUGACCCAGGAAGUAAUUUUUGUCUCCUUCCCUGUCUUUGUUCACCCUUAUUGUGUCCUCCCCUGUCUGAAAUUUCUCUCAUUUUUCUCUUAGAGAGGUUUCAUCUGACUACUGCAGCUGCUAUAUUUUGUUCCUUCUAUUUAUGUUUCUUGAUUUGAAUUCAUCUGAUGCCCAAGAACCAUUUAUUUUGCAUAUAUCUUUGUGCCUGUCUCUAAAAUUGUUCUAUUAAGUCCCUCUGUAUUACUUUCAGAUUGCUUCCUAUUUCCUAUAGAAAAUAUCACCUUGCCUACGUCUGAGAAAAAAUUUGUCUCUUUUCUCACAGUUCAAUUCUGCUCAUCUUGAUGAACUCUGAUUAGACUUUUCUCUAAGUAGCACCUUUCUACUUUCUUCCAUACUAACCUCCAAGUUUUGCAUGGACAGCUGCAAACCUAGCAUUAAGUAAUUUAUUUUCAUCUACCAAAUCCUGAAAUACUUUUGUCCUAAUCCUGAAGGACCAGUCAUGCAUCACUAAUUAGUUUUUUCUUCCUGUUUUAGGGAAAAGAAUUCUCCUUGGCUGUACUGCUUUUCAUUUGUGCCAAGUUUAGUGUUUGCAAUCUUUCAAAACAUUCGUGUAAGGAAGCAGUAUGGUUUGAAUUGCCAGAUUAUGAAAAAAUAAAAACAACAUACUUGUGUGCACAUAGCAUUUCCAAAAGAAGACAAUUUAGUGAAAUGAAGAUGUAGUUUAAGCAGCAUUAAGCAAGUCAGUUCUCUUUUAACAGGACUCUUGGUUCCUUAAAAAUUUCAGUUCUUAAAAUAAGAGUAAAAGCAGCUCAAACUUAAUCUCAAAACCAGUAGUCCCCAGUAAACUCAUCACAGCUACACUGACAAUGUAUCACUAGUUCAAACAGUGAUUAAGAGGCAGCUUUUUUUUUCCAGAGAGAUGGAUGAGACAAAUUCCAAAUUCUCUCAAUGUAGCUUAUUUAGGAAACAUGAAAGUGUGAGCUGAGCAACUUCACUGUGGAGUAUGAUGCUUGCUGUUAAGAUGAUGUAAUGGCAGGAAAAUUGCUCUGAUUUCCCUGUAGCUGUAGUAGUACAGUCUGUACAGCUGAUUUCCAGGUUGUCAACUUUAAUGAAGUUGAAAACAUGCUGACAAUUCGGUAAUGUUUUCUUUUCAGCUGUGCAAAUGCUGCGGCAACAGAUUACAGCAGGAUUGUAAGUACUUAACAAGAGCAUUACAAAAGAAAAUAAUAAUUGGGAUGAGAGAUGAAAAGAGAAAAAACAUGGAAAUAAAUUAAUGUAAUGAAAGAAAACUUUCAUUACUCUAAGAUUUAUAAGUACAAUAGCAGAAAAAGUAGCCCAUGGUGUAUUCCCCUUAGUGUUUCAUGUACCAGUUUUAAAGCUAUCUUUCUGCAUUUUUUUGCAUUAGGAAAUAAAAAAGAAGCAAACAAAUGAAUUUCUGCUAAUUGUAACUGUUAAACAGAAUGACAUACCAAACAUUUCAGUGAAUGCAUUUUGAAUAAAUGUCAUUAUUCUGAAUUUCAGCAUAGCCGAUAGUUGGCUAAUUUUCUGGGAAUUAUGUAUGCCUUGGAGAUCUACAAGUUUGUCUUGAGGUCAGAAGUUAUCAUCAUCCAAGCACAAACAUCAGCGUUGAUUUGCAGUAGAUUUUUAAAGCAAAAUUUAGUUAAAUCAAUUUCUAGUUUCAUGGAGGUAUUUUCAUUUCAGAAGGCUGAAUAAAAAGUUCAGUGCAGGACUCAAAAACACAUCUACACACAAAGAUUUUGGAAAUAGCUGCAGAAAUUGUGUGAAUUUGUGUCUGUUUGUGCAUAUGUAUGUGUGUUGUGGGAGAGUCAAUUCAUGAAAGUAUUGCAAAUGAUCUGUCUAUCAAGAACUCAUGUCUCACCUCAGUGCUGUCCAAUACUCAUUCAGUUGUACAGAUCUUUUGAAGGUUCACAAAAUGAAAAAACUUACCCUGAGCAUGGAUAUAGAUUCAGUGCCUCUCUUCUAGCUCCUGGAAUAAUAAAUAAAGUAGAUUUUGUCUAUAAGAAAACUUAGAAUAUCUACACCAGUUAACCAAUACCUGUUUUCUUGGUCCCUUGAUGAUGCUACUGAUGAUGUAGCAGGGACAGAUACCUUCUCUCAGACCUUCCUAGACUACCUCUACCAUUGUGGAUCUGCUUUGAAGAUAGAAAGCAUGCUUGGAAGCAGCUGAGUAGUCCAACAAAGAAUAUGUGGCAUUAUUUUCCACGUGCAGAAGAUAGCUUUCAUUCCAAUUAAUAAAAUAAAUGGCCUACAAAAAAUUAGUUUUGCCUUUGUCUAAACUUCUCAAAAGAGCUGCCACCCUGCACCUAAGCAGUUUCUACAAGGACCCAAAAAAAAACAGAGCAGCUGUCCAGCUAUGUAUGCAUCACAUUAGCAGGUUUAAUCAGGUUCUACAUCAACUGUACAAUGGCAAGUGCAGCAGAAUCCUCCAUUUCUAGGCAGUUGCAGUGUAAUGAAUGAUGAAGUAACUGGUUGUACAUAUUUCAAAAUGUCCCAGAUGUCUAUCAAUGACACCAAAAUGGAAUUAAAACAAUUUUUAAAAAUUCAGACCUAUUUUAAAAAAUAGGGAAGAUGUUGUAACAAAAAAUGUUUUCUAAAAUGAAAAGAAUGGUCAAUUUGGAACAUAAGCGCAAGAAGAAUACCAUACAGAAGGCUCUUGAUAAAUGGUGUUUAUAUGAAUGCUAACUGAGUUUUCUAUGCUGCAUUUCCCAUUUUCCAUUUUAAGAGUGUUAAUUGUAAAGUAUAUUUACAGCAGAAAGCUAAAUAUUAUCCUUCCAUCCAACCAAGCUACUACGCAAGUCACCAUGCAAGGAGAGUUUAAACUUCUGGCUGUGAUCAUUUGCCAUGAAUUAUACACAUCCAUACUAUCUGACGCCCUGUAAACAACUAUUUUAAAAACAACAUCAGCAGUAAAUACAUUUAAUUACCAGAAGACCUACUACAAUUACUUUGCUUAGUGUCAAAGAGUUUGAUUUGCAAAGGAAACAGUUGGUACUUAUCUGUAAAUCUGUUUAGCGGGAACAGGCAGGCCACCAUUUCAAGACUUGUUCAGUGGUUUGAUAUCCAACUUAUUUAACCACUUGGGAUAUUUUGGCAGGGAGAAGAGAGCUUUCCUGGACUUUCUGAAUCAUCCAUCCACACGGCAAACACAGGUGAAUGUGGGACAUGUUGGUUCAAUGCCACCAUGCCAUCAGCCACUGGAGGAGCAGCUCCCAUAAUCUCUGCUCUCCCAUAAUCUCUGCAGCAGCCCAUGGUCUGGAGCCCAGCUCCAGUGAGGAAGAUCUACAGCCUCCAUUGUGCCCAGUGUCACCUCACAACCAUCCUUAAUCACCCAGUCUCCCCUCUUCCCUUGGUGAAAGGGAAGAUACUUUGGGUAAGGGUACAGAGGCAAGCUUUGUACUUAGUCUGCUGGAUUUACAGUGCAAUGCCACAUUUACUCUGGCCUGUGCAUCUGCAAGUUGUAAUAUAAUUGGAAGAAAAUAAUUGUUAUUUUAGGAGUAAUCCAAGAGCCUGCUUACAAAUGCAUCAUGUUCAGAUGCUCUGAAAUUAGUACCUCCUGAUACUCUGCCCUUGAAUACAUUUUCAAGCAAUGGCUCCUCACUAGUUUAUACAUGAUUAUUCUACAGUUUAUAGAGCCUUUGGAGAACUCAUUUUUUAAAGGGCUUAGGCAUAUUGGAGAACUCAUUUUUUAAAGGGCUUAGGCAUGCCUCAGUAGGAAAGAGCUGCCAUGUCAUGUUGCAGCUCAAGUUCAAGUAACACAAAUCAGUCAGGAUUCUGACCAAGUAGACCUCUGUCAUAUUCCUUGGCUCUGAAUGAGUUCUGAAUUUUCUGAACAAAGACUACAUAGUUGUGAUCUACUUUUACUUCUGCCUGCUUAUGAAAACUUCUGAAUUUGUUUUAAAUAAACUGGCCUGUUGGAAGAGAUCACAGUUUUACUAGAUUCCUGUCAAGUAGAUAGGUGGGGUUUGGGUCGGAGGCAUUUCUAGAUAGACAGCUGAGUAGGACUGAAAAGAAAUUGAGGGAGUGGCUAAUACCACCCUUCCAUUUGGCAUCUGCACUGAAGAGAGACACUAAAACUAAGUUUCAUCAUUUCUCAGAGAGCAAUGAUCAACUCCCUGGGUGUCUGAGACACUAGACAUUACGUAGUGCCUGAAAGAUACCGCUAGAGACUGUUUCUGUGGCAGAUCUCUGGAUCUGGACACUGUGUUGUGAUAAGCACAAGAGUGGUAAGCACUCAUUGUAAAAUACAUUAUGUAAGUUUUUUUAUAUUUCCAACAUUUGCAUGUUUAUUUCAAUAAAAUAUUAUUGAGGACAUUGUUUCCCAGUGAUGAUUUGAUUCCUCACACCAACAGUAUGACAAGAUGCUUAUAGAAACCCUCAGAUCAGAAUAGUUUUGCUGUCUGCCAUCAUCCAUAUUUCUCUUUCAGUUGUAGUGUUUCUACAUUCCUCUGUUCCACUGAACAUGCUUUUUUAAUUGUACCUAGCCACUUCCUCAGUGUCUUAUUCUGAAUUCUAUUCUGUUGUUUGGUUAACCUGAUCCAAAAAAGGAUAUUACAAAAAAGAAAAAGAAAAAACCUAAACAAAUGUAGAUACUCCCCAUGGAUACCUCCUUUAUUUUUCUGAGAUUUGAGGUCAGAUUGUUAUUGUUUGUCAUCUUUGUCUUCCUAGGUAUUUACAUUUAUUCCCAGUACCUACAUAUCUCAACAGUAUUUAUGCUAUCAAUCCCAUUGCUGCAUGGGAGAUAAAAAACUCCCCUAGUGCUUCAAUUUGUGGAGCACAAAAGUUGUUUUCCAGCCCCAAACAACAGUUCAGUCUGUGUAUCAAUCUCUAGUUUUAGGAGCUCUGUUCCAGUCCUGAGUUUCAGCCAAGAGACAGUUACAACCUUUUAAGAAGAAGUUAAAGCUUCUCACUUUAGAUUAUUCACUAAGUUGUUAAAUGAUAUCAGUCCGCAGAAUCACCAUGAGCCUUUGGGUCUGAAUGAGGUACAUCCAUAUUUACUAUUACCCUUUGAUUAUGGCAUUGCAGUCAGCUUUCAAUCUGCAUGACAAGUUUCCCUUUCCAACUCAAUUUGAAUUAAUUUUGAGAUUACAAUUUUGUGCGACACUAUAAUUAAAGGUGUGAGUGCAAUCCAAACACAGACAUCUUCUACAGAUUUUCCUUCACUCAUGAAUGUUGCAAUUCUAUUUUUAAAAGCAGUUAAUGACUGUGGCAGAGUGAAUUCCUUCCAAACUAAGUUUGCUUGUAGCUUGUCUCUUUUUUAUAAAAGAAGAAGGCGGGAGCCAGACCCAGCAAGUAUAAGCAAAAGACAUUAAGGGUGCCCUGCAAAAUAGUCUAAUCAGCCCUUUGUACCUUGUGUAUUAGGCACAAAUAAAAGGAUCUGCUCCUGUUGGUCUUCUUGUACCUUCUUUGGGGGUUUUGAUGUAUUUUAUCUAAAUUCCAUCAAAAAAUCUUAAUCCUGAUCCCUAAUGUUUUUGGGUUUUUUUAAGAGCUAAAAGUACCUUAUCAGCUCUUCCCUUGCUUUUCUCUAACAAUCACACAGUUACAAAGGGAAUGAGACAUGCAGCAGAGGGAUUAACUACUUUGACCUGAGGGAAAAAGCUGUAGCAUUACAGGUGAGAUUGUAAUACCUGUCUCUUCUCAAAAGAGAUAUCAUGUCUGCUCACCUUCCUGAUUACAUCUGAUAGCUUCACAUUAUUCAGAGGAUCAGUAAUUCCUGGGAUUCUCCCCCUGUCACCUUUUCCUUUCCCCAUCUCGUUCUUCAUAAGGUAUAUUCCCAUACACAGGAUUAACCCAGAAAAUAUAUUCUGUCAAUAGCCUCAAUCAAGGUGUCCUUUACAGCUGAGAAUAGUGCUAAAGACCAUGAUCUGAAAUUAUGGUUAUAAACAAAAUCAAGGCAAAUCAUGAUUGGAUCAGAGUUUUCACAGAAAAAAUUGACAUUGCAGGCCAUAUUUAUAAUUUUAAUUAAAGAAACUUAAUGCCUACUAUUACUAAGGCUCUUUGUCAGAUCUGCCAGUUUCUUGUUAUAUCAUUCAUUCUUUAUAACUAAGAAAAUAUUGAAUCUGUGAAAAUGUGAUCUUAAGACAUAAAAAGUGCAUAGCACUGAGUACAGAAACAUUCUACUUACUGAUCAAAAAUGCCAUA
Molecule: long non-coding RNA, 6203 nt
Filed under: Taeniopygia guttata (zebra finch)
Lineage: Eukaryota; Metazoa; Chordata; Aves; Passeriformes; Estrildidae
Description: lncRNA (ENSTGUG00000029022.1)
Source: RNAcentral